UAGUCCACGCUGUAAACGAUGUCUACUUGGAGGUUGUGACCUAGAGUCGUGGCUUUCGGAGCUAACGCGUUAAGUAGACCGCCUGGGGAGUAUGGUCGCAAGAUUAAAACUCAAAUGAAUUGACGGGGGCCCGCACAAGCGGUGGAGCAUGUGGUUUAAUUCGAUGCAACGCGAAGAACCUUACCUACUCUUGACAUCCAGAGAAGCCGAAAGAGAUUUUGGUGUGCCUUCGGGAGCUCUGAGACAGGUGCUGCAUGGCUGUCGUCAGCUCGUGUUGUGAAAUGUUGGGUUAAGUCCCGCAACGAGCGCAACCCUUAUCCUUGUUUGCCAGCGAGUAAUGUCGGGAACUCCAGGGAGACUGCCGGUGAUAAACCGGAGGAAGGUGGGGACGACGUCAAGUCAUCAUGGCCCUUACGAGUAGGGCUACACACGUGCUACAAUGGCAUAUACAGAGGGCAGCGAGGCCGCGAGGUGGAGCGAAUCCCAGAAAGUAUGUCGU
RNAcentral lists this ribosomal RNA (499 nucleotides) under uncultured bacterium. Its description in RNAcentral is "bacterial SSU rRNA". It matches the Rfam family "Bacterial small subunit ribosomal RNA", at positions 791 to 1289 of the family's 1533-position model. The record is from RNAcentral.